RNAcentral lists this transfer RNA (77 nucleotides) under Desulfobacter sp. Its description in RNAcentral is "tRNA-Arg". It matches the Rfam family "tRNA". From Rfam's summary of the family: Transfer RNA (tRNA) molecules are approximately 80 nucleotides in length. Their secondary structure includes four short double-helical elements and three loops (D, anti-codon, and T loops). RNAcentral also lists the same sequence under 2 other names. The record is from RNAcentral. Lineage: Bacteria; Pseudomonadati; Thermodesulfobacteriota; Desulfobacteria; Desulfobacterales; Desulfobacteraceae.
GCGCCCGUAGCUCAGCUGGAUAGAGCAACGGACUUCUAAUCCGUAGGCCGCGUGUUCGAAUCGCGCCGGGCGCGCCA